This 497-nucleotide ribosomal RNA is filed under the name uncultured bacterium. RNAcentral describes it as "partial 16S ribosomal RNA". It matches the Rfam family "Bacterial small subunit ribosomal RNA", at positions 28 to 507 of the family's 1533-position model. The record is from RNAcentral.
GAUGAACGCUGGCGGCGUGCCUAAUACAUGCAAGUCGAGCGAACGGACGAGAAGCUUGCUUCUCUGAUGUUAGCGGCGGACGGGUGAGUAACACGUGGAUAACCUACCUAUAAGACUGGGAUAACUUCGGGAAACCGGAGCUAAUACCGGAUAAUAUUUUGAACCGCAUGGUUCAAAAGUGAAAGACGGUCUUGCUGUCACUUAUAGAUGGAUCCGCGCUGCAUUAGCUAGUUGGUAAGGUAACGGCUUACCAAGGCAACGAUGCAUAGCCGACCUGAGAGGGUGGUCGGCCACACUGGAACUGAGACACGGUCCAGACUCCUACGGGAGGCAGCAGUAGGGAAUCUUCCGCAAUGGGCGAAAGCCUGACGGAGCAACGCCGCGUGAGUGAUGAAGGUCUUCGGAUCGUAAAACUCUGUUAUUAGGGAAGAACAUAUGUGUAAGUAACUGUGCACAUCUUGACGGUACCUAAUCAGAAAGCCACGGCUAACUACGUG